RNAcentral lists this long non-coding RNA (461 nucleotides) under Amborella trichopoda. RNAcentral's name for it is "long non-coding RNA (ATRI_LNC002923)". Lineage: Eukaryota; Viridiplantae; Streptophyta; Magnoliopsida; Amborellales; Amborellaceae. The record is from RNAcentral.
GAAAAAAUAAAAAAUAGAUAAAGGGGAAGAAAAUCUAACCCCCAUGGGGUAAAUGGUGCGAGACUUCUUUCCAACAGGCAUCUUCUCUAGGGUUGAUACUUUCCUUACCCUUCUUUCAUUUCCAUUAUUCUUCACCUCAUCGAAGGAAAAAUCAACCGAAAAUGCUACAAACUAAAUUGCAGAGAGAGUCAACAGUGGAGGCGGAGGAAUAGCAGGAAAACGCAAGGAAAUCGAUGUGAUAUGUGGAUCUGAGGCUUGUUCUAAUCUCUUUGCCCAAAAUAGAAGUGGGUCUUCGGGAUUAAUGAUUACGAUGAAGAGAGAGAGGGAAUCGAUGAGGACAGGUGCCAUUAUUUUCUCUUUCAGCGUUUGCAUGGGAACCUGUCGCAACCCGUCGCUCCUGGUACGAGGCCGGGCGGAGCUCAGCAGGAGCUUCCAAGUUUUAGCAUUCGAGUGGCUUGCCA